Molecule: ribosomal RNA, 618 nt
Filed under: uncultured bacterium
Lineage: Bacteria
Description: bacterial SSU rRNA
Rfam family: Bacterial small subunit ribosomal RNA
Source: RNAcentral
CCUACGGGAGGCAGCAGUAGGGAAUCUUCCGCAAUGGACGAAAGUCUGACGGAGCAACGCCGCGUGAACGAUGAAGGCCUUCGGGUCGUAAAGUUCUGUUGUUAGGGAAGAACAAGUGCUAGUUAAAUAAGCUGGCACCUUGACGGUACCUAACCAGAAAGCCACGGCUAACUACGUGCCAGCAGCCGCGGUAAUACGUAGGUGGCAAGCGUUGUCCGGAAUUAUUGGGCGUAAAGCGCGCGCAGGCGGUUUCUUAAGUCUGAUGUGAAAGCCCCCGGCUCAACCGGGGAGGGUCAUUGGAAACUGGGAAACUUGAGUGCAGAAGAGGAAAGUGGAAUUCCAAGUGUAGCGGUGAAAUGCGUAGAGAUUUGGAGGAACACCAGUGGCGAAGGCGACUUUCUGGUCUGUAACUGACGCUGAGGCGCGAAAGCGUGGGGAGCAAACAGGAUUAGAUACCCUGGUAGUCCACGCUGUAAACGAUGAGUGCUAAGUGUUAGAGGGUUUCCGCCCUUUAGUGCUGAAGUUAACGCAUUAAGCACUCCGCCUGGGGAAUCGGUCGCAAGCUGAAACUCAAAAGUNAGCGNGNGNGAGACGCGACGACGACGACGACGGAGGAGG